RNAcentral lists this ribosomal RNA (774 nucleotides) under uncultured bacterium. RNAcentral describes it as "bacterial SSU rRNA". It matches the Rfam family "Bacterial small subunit ribosomal RNA", at positions 62 to 866 of the family's 1533-position model. The record is from RNAcentral.
UCGAACGAGAAAGUGGAGCAAUCCAUGAGUAAAGUGGCGCACGGGUGAGUAACACGUGACUAACCUACCCUUGAGUGGGGAAUAACUUCGGGAAACCGAGGCUAAUACCGCAUAACACCUACGGGUCAAAGGAGCAAUUCGCUUAAGGAGGGGGUCGCGGCAGAUUAGUUAGUUGGCGGGGUAAUGGCCCACCAAGACGGUGAUCUGUAUCCGGCCUGAGAGGGCGCACGGACACACUGGAACUGAAACACGGUCCAGACUCCUACGGGAGGCAGCAGUGGGGAAUUUUGCGCAAUGGGGGAAACCCUGACGCAGCAACGCCGCGUGGAGGAUGAAGUCCCUUGGGACGUAAACUCCUUUCGAUCGGGACGAUUAUGACGGUACCGGAAGAAGAAGCCCCGGCUAACUUCGUGCCAGCAGCCGCGGUAAUACGAGGGGGGCGAGCGUUGUUCGGAAUUAUUGGGCGUAAAGGGCGCGUAGGCGGUUGGAUAAGUCUUGUGUGAAAUCUUCGGGCUCAACUCGAAGUCUGCACGAGAAACUAUCUGGCUUGAGUGUGGGAGAGGUGAGUGGAAUUCCUGGUGUAGCGGUGAAAUGCGUAGAUAUCAGGAGGAACACCUGUGGCGAAAGCGGCUCACUGGACCACAACUGACGCUGAGGCGCGAAAGCUAGGGGAGCAAACAGGAUUAGAUACCCUGGUAGUCCUAGCCCUAAACGAUGAUCGCUUUGGUGUGACGGGUACCCAAUCCCGCCGUGCCGAAGCUAACGCGUUAAGCG